Molecule: ribosomal RNA, 537 nt
Filed under: uncultured bacterium
Lineage: Bacteria
Description: bacterial SSU rRNA
Rfam family: Bacterial small subunit ribosomal RNA
Source: RNAcentral
GAUGAACGCUAGCGGCAGGCUUAAUACAUGCAAGUCGAGGGGCAGCGCAGUGUAGCAAUACAUGGGCGGCGACCGGCAAACGGGUGCGGAACACGUACGCAACCUUCCUUCAAAUGGGGGAUAGCCCACCGAAAGGUGGAUUAAUACCCCCGUAAAAUUUUUAGGGUGGCAUCACCUGAUUAUUAUAGCUCCGGCGUUUGAAGAUGGGCGUGCGCCUGAUUAGGUAGUUGGCGGAGUAACAGCCCACCAAGCCUACGAUCAGUAACUGGUGUGAGAGCACGACCAGUCACACGGGCACUGAGACACGGGCCCGACUCCUACGGGAGGCUGCAGUAAGGAAUAUUGGUCAAUGGACGCAAGUCUGAACCAGCCAUGCCGCGUGGAGGAUGAAGGUCCUCUGGAUUGUAAACUUCUUUUUAUCGGAGAAGAAACCCAGACAUUCCUGUUUGGUUGACGGUACCCGAUGAAUAAGCACCGGCUAACUCCGUGCCAGCAGCCGCGGUAAUACGGAGGGUGCAAGCGUUAUCCGGAUUCACU